This 484-nucleotide ribosomal RNA is filed under the name uncultured bacterium. Its description in RNAcentral is "partial 16S ribosomal RNA". It matches the Rfam family "Bacterial small subunit ribosomal RNA", at positions 30 to 507 of the family's 1533-position model. The record is from RNAcentral.
AUUGAACGCUGGCGGCAGGCCUAACACAUGCAAGUCGAGCGGAUGAAGGGAGCUUGCUCCUGGAUUCAGCGGCGGACGGGUGAGUAAUGCCUAGGAAUCUGCCUGGUAGUGGGGGAUAACGUCCGGAAACGGGCGCUAAUACCGCAUACGUCCUGAGGGAGAAAGUGGGGGAUCUUCGGACCUCACGCUAUCAGAUGAGCCUAGGUCGGAUCAGCUAGUUGGUGGGGUAAAGGCCUACCAAGGCGACGAUCCGUAACUGGUCUGAGAGGAUGAUCAGUCACACUGGAACUGAGACACGGUCCAGACUCCUACGGGAGGCAGCAGUGGGGAAUAUUGGACAAUGGGCGAAAGCCUGAUCCGGCCAUGCCGCGUGUGUGAAGAAGGUCUUCGGAUUGUAAAGCACUUUAAGUUGGGAGGAAGGGCAGUAAGUUAAUACCUUGCUGUUUUGACGUUACCAACAGAAUAAGCACCGGCUAACUUCGUG